RNAcentral lists this ribosomal RNA (766 nucleotides) under uncultured bacterium. RNAcentral describes it as "bacterial SSU rRNA". It matches the Rfam family "Bacterial small subunit ribosomal RNA", at positions 61 to 874 of the family's 1533-position model. The record is from RNAcentral.
GUCGAACGGACCCUUCGGGGUUAGUGGCGGACGGGUGAGUAACACGUGGGAACGUGCCUUUAGGUUCGGAAUAGCUCCUGGAAACGGGUGGUAAUGCCGAAUGUGCCCUUCGGGGGAAAGAUUUAUCGCCUUUAGAGCGGCCCGCGUCUGAUUAGCUAGUUGGUGAGGUAAUGGCUCACCAAGGCGACGAUCAGUAGCUGGUCUGAGAGGAUGACCAGCCACAUUGGGACUGAGACACGGCCCAAACUCCUACGGGAGGCAGCAGUGGGGAAUCUUGCGCAAUGGGCGAAAGCCUGACGCAGCCAUGCCGCGUGAAUGAUGAAGGUCUUAGGAUUGUAAAAUUCUUUCACCGGGGACGAUAAUGACGGUACCCGGAGAAGAAGCCCCGGCUAACUUCGUGCCAGCAGCCGCGGUAAUACGAAGGGGGCUAGCGUUGCUCGGAAUUACUGGGCGUAAAGGGCGCGUAGGCGGACAUUUAAGUCAGGGGUGAAAUCCCAGAGCUCAACUCUGGAACUGCCUUUGAUACUGGGUGUCUUGAGUGUGAGAGAGGUAUGUGGAACUCCGAGUGUAGAGGUGAAAUUCGUAGAUAUUCGGAAGAACACCAGUGGCGAAGGCGACAUACUGGCUCAUUACUGACGCUGAGGCGCGAAAGCGUGGGGAGCAAACAGGAUUAGAUACCCUGGUAGUCCACGCCGUAAACGAUGAUUGCUAGUUGUCGGGCUGCAUGCAGUUCGGUGACGCAGCUAACGCAUUAAGCAAUCCGCCU